This 595-nucleotide ribosomal RNA is filed under the name Fuscidea recensa. Its description in RNAcentral is "SSU rRNA". It matches the Rfam family "Bacterial small subunit ribosomal RNA", at positions 470 to 1125 of the family's 1533-position model. The record is from RNAcentral. Lineage: Eukaryota; Fungi; Ascomycota; Lecanoromycetes; Umbilicariales; Fuscideaceae.
UGACAUAUUCUGCUCAUAAGUCUUGACCAAAUCACGUGCCAGCAGUCGCGGCAAUACGUGGAAGACUAGUGUUAUUCAUCUUAAAUAGGUUUAAAGGGUACCUAGACGGUAAAUUUAGCCCCCAAAGGGUACAGAUAUACUAGAGUUUGAUGAGAGGGGGGUAGUACUGACGGAGGAGAGAUGAAAUUUUUUGAUACCGAUAUAAGAGACAGGUAUAGGCGAAAGCAACCCUUUAUGUAAAAACUGACGUUGAAGGACGAAGGCCCUGGUUACCAACAGGAUUAGAUACCCCAGCAGUCUGGGCAGACAAUGAUGAAUGUCAUAGAUUAGAUUAUAUUUAUUCUAUAAAUGAAAGUGUAAGCAUUCCACCUCAAGAGUAAUUUGGCAACAUUGAAACUGAAAUCAUUAGACCGUUUCUGAAACCAGUAGUGAAGUAUGUUGUUCAAUCUGUCGGCACACGGAAAACCUUACCACAACUUGAAUAUUUUUAUAUAUAUAAUUAUACAAGUGCUGCAUGGCUGUCUUUAGUUAAUGUCGUGAGAUUUUGGUUAGUUCCAUAAAAUUAAUGUAAACCCUUACUUUAUUUAUUUAUAAA